CCUACGGGUGGCUGCAGUGAGGAAUAUUGGUCAAUGGGCGGAAGCCUGAACCAGCCAAGUAGCGUGCAGGAUGACGGCCCUACGGGUUGUAAACUGCUUUUAUACGGGAAUAACUCGCCUUACGUGUAGGGCUUUGCAUGUACCGUAUGAAUAAGGACCGGCUAAUUCCGUGCCAUCAGCCGCGGUAAUACGGAAGGUCCGGGCGUUAGCCGGAUUUAUUGGGUUUAAAGGGAGCGUAGGCCGCAUGUCAAGCGUGCUGUGAAAUGUCCGGGAUAAACCCGGGCCUUGCAGCGCGAACGGGCGUGCUUGAGGCCGCGGAAAGCAGGCGGAAUU
Molecule: ribosomal RNA, 333 nt
Filed under: uncultured bacterium
Lineage: Bacteria
Description: partial 16S ribosomal RNA
Rfam family: Bacterial small subunit ribosomal RNA
Source: RNAcentral